Molecule: ribosomal RNA, 430 nt
Filed under: uncultured bacterium
Lineage: Bacteria
Description: bacterial SSU rRNA
Rfam family: Bacterial small subunit ribosomal RNA
Source: RNAcentral
AGGAAAUAGAUACCCGGGUAGUCCACGCCCUAAACGAUGUCAACUAGUUGUUGGGGGAGUAAAAUCCCUUAGUAACGCAGCUAAACGCGUGAAAGUUGACCGCCUGGGGAGUACGGUCGCAAGAUUAAAACUCAAAGGAAUUGACGGGGCCCGCACAAGCGGUGGAUUAUGUGGAUUAAUUCGAUGCAACGCGAAAAAACCUUAACCUGGCCUUGACAUGCCACUAACGAAGCAGAGAUGCAUUAGGUGCCCGAAAGGGAAAGUGGACACAGGUGCUGCAUGGCUGUCGUCAGCUCGCGUCGUGAGAUGUUGGGUUAAGUCCCGCAACGAGCGCAACCCUUGCCAAUAAUUGCCAUCAUUCAGUUGGGCACUUUAUUGGGACUGCCGGUGACAAACCGGAGGAAGGUGGGGAUGACGUCAAGUCCUCACG